AAGUGCCGGGAUCGCCCCCCCACCAGCGUGUUACGCCCGUGGGGGCGCUUGUG
Molecule: small RNA, 53 nt
Filed under: marine metagenome
Description: ffh sRNA
Rfam family: ffh sRNA
Source: Rfam by way of RNAcentral